AACGAACGCUGGCGGCAGGCUUAACACAUGCAAGUCGAGCGCCCCGCAAGGGGAGCGGCAGACGGGUGAGUAACGCGUGGGAACGUACCUUUUGGUUCGGAACAACUCCGGGAAACUGGAGCUAAUACCGGAUAAGCCCUAACGGGGAAAGAUUUAUCGCCGAAAGAUCGGCCCGCGUCUGAUUAGCUAGUUGGUGAGGUAACGGCUCACCAAGGCGACGAUCAGUAGCUGGUCUGAGAGGAUGAUCAGCCACACUGGGACUGAGACACGGCCCAGACUCCUACGGGAGGCAGCAGUGGGGAAUAUUGGACAAUGAGCGCAAGCCUGAUCCAGCCAUGCCGCGUGAGUGAUGAAGGCCUUAGGGUUGUAAAGCUCUUUUGUCCGGGAAGAUAAUGACUGUACCGGAAGAAUAAGCCCCGGCUAACUUCGUG
RNAcentral lists this ribosomal RNA (431 nucleotides) under uncultured bacterium. Its description in RNAcentral is "partial 16S ribosomal RNA". It matches the Rfam family "Bacterial small subunit ribosomal RNA", at positions 29 to 507 of the family's 1533-position model. The record is from RNAcentral.